AGAGUUUGAUCCUGGCUCAGAACGAACGCUGGCGGCGUGCUUAACACAUGCAAGUCGCGUGCGCAGUUCCGUAGCAAUACGGGAUGGGCGCACGGCGCACGGGUGCGUAACACGUGGGCAAUCUGCCCUCUGAUGGGGAAUAACCCGCCGAAAGGCGGGCUAAUUCCGCAUAAGAUUCCCGGGACUUCGGUUCUGGGAUUGAAAGCAGUAAUGCGUCGGAGGAGGAGCCCGCGCCCGAUUAGCUAGUUGGUGAGGUAACGGCUCACCAAGGCAAUGAUCGGUAGCUGGUCUGAGAGGAUGAUCAGCCACACUGGAACUGAGACACGGUCCAGACUCCUACGGGAGGCAGCAGUGGGGAAUCUUGCACAAUGGGCGAAAGCCUGAUGCAGCGACGCCGCGUGGGGGAUGAAGCAUUUCGGUGUGUAAACCCCUUUCGACUGGGAAGAAUGCCUCGCAAGAGGAGUGACGGUACCAGUAGAAGAAGCCCCGGCUAACCACGUGCCAGCAGCCGCGGUAAGACGUAGGGGGCCAGCGUUGUUCGGAAUUACUGGGUGUAAAGGGUUCGUAGGCGAUGCGGCAAGUUGGGAGUGAAAUCUCUGGGCUUAACCCAGAGGCUGCUUCCAAAACUGCUGUGCUCGAGUGUGAGAGAGGCUCGUGGAAUUGCAGGUGUAGCGGUGAAAUGCGUAGAUAUCUGCAGGAACACCCGUGGCGAAAGCGGCGAGCUGGAUCACUACUGACGCUGAGGAACGAAAGCUAGGGGAGCAAACAGGAUUAGAUACCCUGGUAGUCCUAGCCCUAAACGAUCAGGACUUGGGGUGCCGCCCGUUCGGGCGUCGUCCCGGAGCUAACGCGUUAAGUCCUGCACCUGGGGAGUACGGUCGCAAGACUGAAACUCAAAGGAAUUGACGGGGGCCCGCACAAGCGGUGGAACAUGUGGUUCAAUUCGACGCUACGCGAGGAACCUUACCUGGGCUCGAAAUGCUAGUGA
This 988-nucleotide ribosomal RNA is filed under the name uncultured bacterium. Its description in RNAcentral is "bacterial SSU rRNA". It matches the Rfam family "Bacterial small subunit ribosomal RNA", at positions 8 to 995 of the family's 1533-position model. The record is from RNAcentral.